Molecule: ribosomal RNA, 205 nt
Filed under: uncultured bacterium
Lineage: Bacteria
Description: partial 16S ribosomal RNA
Rfam family: Bacterial small subunit ribosomal RNA
Source: RNAcentral
ACGCUCGACACCUACGGGAGGAGCAGUGGGGGGAUAUUGCACAAUGGGGGGAACCCUGAUGCAGCGACGCCGCGUGAGGGAAGAAGGUUUUCGGAUUGUAAACCUCUGUCCUCAGGGAAGAAGAUGACGGUACCUGAGGAGGAAGCCACGGCUAACUACGUGCCAGCACGCCGACGUAAUCGUGGACGGCGGGCUGGACGAAGGC